GAGGCUUAACACAUGCAAGUCGAGGGGCAGCAUGGUCUUAGCUUGCUAAGACUGAUGGCGACCGGCGCACGGGUGAGUAACACGUAUCCAACCUGCCGUCUACUCUUGGACAGCCUUCUGAAAGGAAGAUUAAUACAAGAUGGCAUCAUGAGUCCACAUGUUCACAUGAUUAAAGGUAUUCCGGUAGACGAUGGGGAUGCGUUCCAUUAGAUAGUAGGCGGGGUAACGGCCCACCUAGUCUUCGAUGGAUAGGGGUUCUGAGAGGAAGGUCCCCCACAUUGGAACUGAGACACGGUCCAAACUCCUACGGGAGGCAGCAGUGAGGAAUAUUGGUCAAUGGGCGAGAGCCUGAACCAGCCAAGUAGCGUGAAGGAUGACUGCCCUAUGGGUUGUAAACUUCUUUUAUAAAGGAAUAAAGUCGGGUAUGCAUACCCGUUUGCAUGUACUUUAUGAAUAAGGAUCGGCUAACUCCGUGCCAGCAGCCGCGGUAAUACGGAGGAUCCGAGCGUUAUCCGGAUUUAUUGGGUUUAAAGGGAGCGUAGAUGGAUGUUUAAGUCAGUUGUGAAAGUUUGCGGCUCAACCGUAAAAUUGCAGUUGAUACUGGAUAUCUUGAGUGCAGUUGAGGCAGGCGGAGUUCGUGGUGUAGCGGUGAAAUGCUUAGAUAUCACGAAGAACUCCGAUUGCGAAGGCAGCCUGCUAGGCUGCAACUGACAUUGAGGCUCGAAAGUGUGGGUAUCAAACAGGAUUAGAUACCCUGGUAGUCCACACGGUAAACGAUGAAUACUCGCUGUUUGCGAUAUACAGCAAGCGGCCAAGCGAAAGCGUUAAGUAUUCCACCUGGGGAGUACGCCGGCAACGGUGAAACUCAAAGGAAUUGACGGGGGCCCGCACAAGCGGAGGAACAUGUGGUUUAAUUCGAUGAUACGCGAGGAACCUUACCCGGGCUUAAAUUGCAGAUGAAUUACGGUGAAAGCCGUAAGCCGCAAGGCAUCUGUGAAGGUGCUGCAUGGUUGUCGUCAGCUCGUGCCGUGAGGUGUCGGCUUAAGUGCCAUAACGAGCGCAACCCUUGUUGUCAGUUACUAACAGGUCCUGCUGAGGACUCUGACAAGACUGCCAUCGUAAGAUGUGAGGAAGGUGGGGAUGACGUCAAAUCAGCACGGCCCUUACGUCCGGGGCUACACACGUGUUACAAUGGGGGGUACAGAGGGCCGCUACCACGCGAGUGGAUGCCAAUCCCCAAAACCUCUCUCAGUUCGGACUGGAGUCUGCAACCCGACUCCACGAAGCUGGAUUCGCUAGUAAUCGCGCAUCAGCCACGGCGCGGUGAAUACGUUCCCGGGCCUUGUACACACCGCCCGUCAAGCCAUGGGAGCCGGGGGUACCUGAAGUGCGUAACCGCGAGGAGCGCCCUAGGGUAAAACUGGUGACUGGGGCUAAG
Molecule: ribosomal RNA, 1438 nt
Filed under: uncultured organism
Description: SSU rRNA
Rfam family: Bacterial small subunit ribosomal RNA
Source: RNAcentral